GAUGAACGCUGGCGGCGUGCUUAACACAUGCAAGUCGAACGAAGCACUUUAUUAGAUUUCCUUCGGGACUGAUUAUUUUGUGACUGAGUGGCGGACGGGUGAGUGACGCGUGGGUAACCUGCCUUGUACAGGGGGAUAACAGUUGGAAACGGCUGCUAAUACCGCAUAAGCGCACAGCAUCGCAUGAUGCAGUGUGAAAAACUCCGGUGGUAUAAGAUGGACCCGCGUUGGAUUAGCUAGUUGGUGAGGUAACGGCCCACCAAGGCGACGAUCCAUAGCCGACCUGAGAGGGUGACCGGCCACAUUGGGACUGAGACACGGCCCAAACUCCUACGGGAGGCAGCAGUGGGGAAUAUUGCACAAUGGGCGAAAGCCUGAUGCAGCGACGCCGCGUGAGCGAAGAAGUAUUUCGGUAUGUAAAGCUCUAUCAGCAGGGAAGAUAAUGACGGUACCUGACUAAGAAGCACCGGCUAA
This 474-nucleotide ribosomal RNA is filed under the name uncultured bacterium. RNAcentral's name for it is "bacterial SSU rRNA". It matches the Rfam family "Bacterial small subunit ribosomal RNA", at positions 28 to 500 of the family's 1533-position model. The record is from RNAcentral.